GUCGAGAAUAAUUCACAAUGGGGGAAACCCUGAUGGUGCAACGCCGCGUGGAGGAUGAAGGUCUUCGGAUUGUAAACUCCUGUCAUCCGAGAGUAAGACCUGGCGGUGAAUAGCCGACAGGGUUGAUAGUAUCGGAAGAGGAAGGGACGGCUAACUUCGUGCCAGCAGCCGCGGUAAUACGAAGGUCCCAAGCGUUGUUCGGAAUCACUGGGCGUAAAGGGAGCGUAGGCUGCGCGGUAAGUCAGGUGUGAAAUCCCGGGGCUCAACCCCGGAACUGCACCCGAUACUGCCGUGCUGGAGGGUGGGAGAGGUGACUGGAAUUCUCGGUGGAGCAGUGAAAUGCGUGGAUAUCGAGAGGAACACUCGUGGCGAAGGCGAGUCACUGGACAACAUCUGACGCUGAGGCUCGAAGGCCAGGGGAGCAAAAGGGAUUAGAAACCCGAGUAGUCC
RNAcentral lists this ribosomal RNA (450 nucleotides) under uncultured bacterium. RNAcentral describes it as "partial 16S ribosomal RNA". It matches the Rfam family "Bacterial small subunit ribosomal RNA", at positions 354 to 796 of the family's 1533-position model. The record is from RNAcentral.